AGGAUGCCCAGUUAAACUUGAAUUUCAGAUAAACAAGGAAUAAUUUUUAGUUUAAGUAUACCUCAUGUGAAAUUUGGGACAUACUUAAACUAAAAAUUAUUCCUUGUUUAUCUGAAAUUCAAAGUUAACUGGGCUCUGUGU
RNAcentral lists this microRNA precursor (141 nucleotides) under Pteropus vampyrus (large flying fox). Its description in RNAcentral is "miRNA (ENSPVAG00000025261.1)". Lineage: Eukaryota; Metazoa; Chordata; Mammalia; Chiroptera; Pteropodidae. The record is from RNAcentral.